AUGCAGUCGUACGGUGAAGCCCAGCUUGCUGGGUGGAUCAGUGGCGAACGGGUGAGUAACACGUGAGCAACCUGCCCUCCACUUCGGGAUAAGCCCUGGAAACGGGGUCUAAUACCGGAUAUGAGCUUCCACCGCAUGGUGGGGGUUGGAAAGUUUUUCGGUGGGGGAUGGGCUCGCGGCCUAUCAGCUUGUUGGUGGGGUGAUGGCCUACCAAGGCGUCGACGGGUAGCCGGCCUGAGAGGGCGACCGGCCACACUGGGACUGAGACACGGCCCAGACUCCUACGGGAGGCAGCAGUGGGGAAUAUUGCACAAUGGGCGCAAGCCUGAUGCAGCGACGCCGCGUGAGGGAUGACGGCCUUCGGGUUGUAAACCUCUUUCAGCAGGGAAGAAGCGCAAGUGACGGUACCUGCAGAAGAAGCGCCGGCUAACUACGUGCCAGCAGCCGCGGUAAUACGUAGGGCGCAAGCGUUGUCCGGAAUUAUUGGGCGUAAAGAGCUCGUAGGCGGUCUGUCGCGUCUGGUGUGAAAACCCGAGGCUCAACCUCGGGCUGGCAUCGGGUACGGGCGGACUAGAGUGCUGUAGGGGAGACUGGAAUUCCUGGUGUAGCGGUGGAAUGCGCAGAUAUCAGGAGGAACACCGAUGGCGAAGGCAGGUCUCUGGGCAGUUACUGACGCUGAGGAGCGAAAGCAUGGGGAGCGAACAGGAUUAGAUACCCUGGUAGUCCAUGCCGUAAACGUUGGGCACUAGGUGUGGGGACCAUUCCACGGUCUCCGUGCCGCAGCUAACGCAUUAAGUGCCCCGCCUGGGGAGUACGGCCGCAAGGCUAAAA
RNAcentral lists this ribosomal RNA (831 nucleotides) under Xylanimonas sp. NCCP-1318. RNAcentral describes it as "bacterial SSU rRNA". It matches the Rfam family "Bacterial small subunit ribosomal RNA", at positions 55 to 899 of the family's 1533-position model. The record is from RNAcentral. Lineage: Bacteria; Bacillati; Actinomycetota; Actinomycetes; Micrococcales; Promicromonosporaceae.